This 460-nucleotide ribosomal RNA is filed under the name uncultured bacterium. RNAcentral describes it as "partial 16S ribosomal RNA". It matches the Rfam family "Bacterial small subunit ribosomal RNA", at positions 338 to 795 of the family's 1533-position model. The record is from RNAcentral.
CCUACGGGAGGCAGCAGUGAGGAAUAUUGGACAAUGGGCGCGAGCCUGAACGAGCAAAGUAGCGUGAAGGAUGACUGGCCUACGGGUUGUAAGCUUCUUUUAUAAAGGAAUCCAGUGAGGCACGUGUGCCUUUUUGCAUGUACUUUAUGAAAAAGGAUCGGCUAACUCCGUGCCAGCAGCAGCGGUAAUACGGAGGAUCCGAGGGUUAUCCGGAUUUAUUGGGUUUAACGGGAGCGGAGACGGGUUGUUAAGUCAGUUGUGAAAGUUUGCGGUGCAACCGAAAAAUUGCAUUUGAUCAUGGGAGUCUUGAGUGCAGAUGAGGUAAGCGGAAUUCGUGGUGUAGCGGUGAAAUGCGUAGAUAUAACGAAGAACACCGAUUGCGAAGGCAGCUGACUAGACUGCCACUGACGUUGAUGCUCGAAAGUGUGGGUAUCAAACAGGAUUAGAUACCCCAGUAGUC